CUUAGGUGAAGGACUAUCACUCGCCUUAGGCGAGAGGAAAGUCCGGACAGCUAAAAGGCAGGGUGUUCCGCGAAAGCGGGAGAUUCCUUCAGUAAUGGAGGGAGACAGUAUAGAGCAACAGAGACGAGUUCGCCUUAGGCGAGAGUGAAACGCCCGAAAGGGCCCCCUUUGGGGGUGGCAAUCCUCCCUGCUGCAACCUGCGUACGGUACGCCCCGCUUUGCGGGGUAAAGGAUGCCUUUUUCCGGCCGUGUCAGGGCAUAGACAGAUGAUAGUUUACCCCGAUUUAAUCGGGGUCGAACAGAAUCCGGCUUACUCUCACCUAAGACUU
RNAcentral lists this RNase P RNA (329 nucleotides) under Candidatus Woesebacteria bacterium RIFOXYA1_FULL_43_9. RNAcentral's name for it is "RNase P RNA component class A". It matches the Rfam family "Bacterial RNase P class A". From Rfam's summary of the family: Ribonuclease P (RNase P) is a ubiquitous endoribonuclease, found in archaea, bacteria and eukarya as well as chloroplasts and mitochondria. The record is from RNAcentral. Lineage: Bacteria; Candidatus Woeseibacteriota.